AAAGGUUAACAGGUUAGGGCUUGGAUCUCCUAACCUGACACUACAUCAUGAUAACCAGAUCAAAGUGGGAACAAAGGUUUGAAUAAAAUACCUGUCGGAGACGACGAUGGAGGUGGCGGCAACAGUAAUGAGAUUCUCAGGUAUGCUCCAAUGCUCUUCUAAUUCCACUUUAUUCCUUCUUCGUAUUCUUCUUCUGUCCAAUGCCUUGUUCUUCCACUUCUUCUUUAAUUUCUUGCUCUUACUUAGAAUGGAGAUAUUGAGUUUUGUGAGUGUGCCCAGAAUGUGUUAGAAAGCCAUCCUUCCUCCCUAAUGAUUGGCAAUGAUUGCCUCAUUUAUAGAGCAAUCCAAGGGGGUAGUUUAGGGAAUUGAAUCUGAGUUGUUAGAUCAUGAUUUAUCCAGCUGGAAAUUAAGUGAAUUUCUGGAAAUGAAAUUUGAGCUAUAAUAUGGAAUUAGGUCACGUGGCAUUUAGCUGUGCACAUGAUUUAUUCCCUUUAAUUCAUUUGCAACUGAUUUUCCAUUUAGCUUUGGAUAUUUGAACUGAAUUGCAUCAAAUUGGUUAGUAUAUGUUAUUGGUUCGGUUUACACUCCUACUAGGUCUCGACCUGUUUUGCUUUUGGUUAGCAAAAAAAGAGUAGUUGGAAAUGGUUUGUUCUCGUUGUGUGACAUGUCAUGUAUGAGAAACUUGGUUGCUAAUUAUGCUCGGACUGUUAUGAUUAAUUUGGAAGUUGAAACAGCUAUGCUAUAGUGAUUUUUGUCAAGAUUAGCUUCUUAACUAGUUGAACUUUUGUUUAAUCAAAUGAAUGUGUUGUAAUGCUCAGGACAAAAUGCAACGACACAAAAUUGAAUUGCAAUUUCAGCAUGCUAGUGAAAUAUGAAUGCAUUAUUAGUAAUUGAGAAUUGAUGAUCAUUAGUCAGGACUUGCUAAGGAUGGUUGUGAGUAGUCAAUUAGCAUUGUUUAGGUUAGUUUAAAUUCUGAAUGAUUGUUGUUAGCUAACUUUAUUAGUGAUUCACUUGUUAUAUCAAUGCUAUUUUGUUAUGUUAUCAUAGCUUGUUAAGUUGUAGUUUGAAACAACAUGGAGUUAGUGAAUGUUAAUCAUUGCAUGCCAUGGUUUAUGUUUAUGUUGCUUAGCAUGGUCUGCAAGGUUUGUGUAUGAUGCACAAGUUUUAUCCAUGAUUGUUGUUGUGAAUCGAUGCAAUGGCUUGUGGUUUGGAUUUUUCUGCUGCAAUUUUGUUGUUAUGCCUUAUUAGAACCAGCUUGUGAUGACUUGAAUUGAUUGCCAUUGCUUGAUGUAUUUUGUGGGAUGGAUGAGGUCUUGUCUUGCAGCCCUGGGAGUCAGUUUGCAGGUACAUGUUUAUGGCUGCAUGAUGUCUAUAAAUGUUGAUAUGGCUAGACUGUUUUGCACCGUCUUGGCUUAUUCGCAUUGUUCUGAAUUUGGUUGCACAGGUUUACAACAUGAUGAUAUUGUGCAGACCUUGGUUUCAUGUGACUUUACAGGGUCAUAUUGUGUUGCAAGUACUUCUGAAAUGCAUACUGAUUGCAGUAUAGUGGCUUGGCCCUUUAGCUUUAUGCUUAACUGCUAGUUCUUGACUGAUGCGGUAAGUGUUUGUUGACAGCUUUGCAAGGAAAUUCCAUAAUGCCUUGACUUAUUCAUGUAAAUGUUGGAUUGUACAUGGUAGUUUCCACAUUAUGACUUGCUUUAUGUUGUGAAUGAUCCCAUUGUUUUCCACUAGGUCCCUUGCUCAUGGUUAGGCACAUGGGGUGGGCAAAGAUUACAUGCCACCAAAGGUUAAGUUUUGGAUAGUCAUGGUGCACAAGGUGAAACUUCAAGACCAAGGAUCACAAUUCAAGAUUAAGAGGAUGAUUAGAAUUGACAUUGGGAUUUUUAGGGCUUGGGUUGACUUUGGUCAAAGUUGACCAAAAAGUCAGCAGUUGACCAAAGUCAACAUGUGGUCAAACUUCCAUUUUCUUGUAAACUUUCCAAUGCUUGAGUGAAUUGAGAUUGAAAUGAAUGAAUUUGAUGAUUAUGGCCAUGCCUUGAAUUGAAAUGUACCCAUUGAAUUUUAUGUAAACUUGACCUUUGAACUAAAUGGAUUUGAUAUGAACUAAAUGAUGAAUGGAUGCAAUGAUGAACUUGGUGAAUCAAUGAAUAUGGUUUGCAACUCGGAUAA
This 2169-nucleotide long non-coding RNA is filed under the name Lathyrus oleraceus (garden pea). Its description in RNAcentral is "Pisum sativum (pea) long non-coding RNA (PSAT_LNC036083)". Lineage: Eukaryota; Viridiplantae; Streptophyta; Magnoliopsida; Fabales; Fabaceae. The record is from RNAcentral.